GAUGAACGCUGGCGGCGUGCCUAAUACAUGCAAGUCGAGCGAACAGACGAGGAGCUUGCUCCUCUGACGUUAGCGGCGGACGGGUGAGUAACAUGUGGAUAACCUACCUAUAAGACUGGGAUAAUUUCGGGAAACCGGAGCUAAUACCGGAUAAUAUAUUGAACCGCAUGGUUCAAUAGUGAAAGUCGGUUUUGCUGUCACUUAUAGAUGGAUCCGCGCCGCAUUAGCUAGUUGGUAAGGUAACGGCUUACCAAGGCAACGAUGCGUAGCCGACCUGAGAGGGUGAUCGGCCACACUGGAACUGAGACACGGUCCAGACUCCUACGGGAGGCAGCAGUAGGGAAUCUUCCGCAAUGGGCGAAAGCCUGACGGAGCAACGCCGCGUGAGUGAUGAAGGUCUUCGGAUCGUAAAACUCUGUUAUUAGGGAAGAACAAAUGUGUAAGUAACUGUGCACGUCUUGACGGUACCUAAUCAGAAAGCCACGGCUAACUACGUG
RNAcentral lists this ribosomal RNA (497 nucleotides) under uncultured bacterium. Its description in RNAcentral is "partial 16S ribosomal RNA". It matches the Rfam family "Bacterial small subunit ribosomal RNA", at positions 28 to 507 of the family's 1533-position model. The record is from RNAcentral.